Molecule: ribosomal RNA, 505 nt
Filed under: uncultured bacterium
Lineage: Bacteria
Description: partial 16S ribosomal RNA
Rfam family: Bacterial small subunit ribosomal RNA
Source: RNAcentral
GACGAACGCUGGCGGCGUGCCUAAUACAUGCAAGUAGAACGCACAGUUUAUACCGUAGCUUGCUACACCAUAGACUGUGAGUUGCGAACGGGUGAGUAACGCGUAGGUAACCUGCCUGGUAGCGGGGGAUAACUAUUGGAAACGAUAGCUAAUACCGCAUAAUAUUAAUUAUUGCAUGAUAAUUAAUUGAAAGGUGCAAUUGCACCACUACCAGAUGGACCUGCGUUGUAUUAGCUAGUAGGUGAGGUAACGGCUCACCUAGGCGACGAUACAUAGCCGACCUGAGAGGGUGAUCGGCCACACUGGGACUGAGACACGGCCCAGACUCCUACGGGAGGCAGCAGUAGGGAAUCUUCGGCAAUGGACGAAAGUCUGACCGAGCAACGCCGCGUGAGGGAAGAAGGGUUUCGGAUCGUAAUGCUCUGUUGUAAGAGAAGAACGGGUGUGAGAGUGGAAAGUUCACACUGUGACGGUAUCUUACCAGAAAGGGACGGCUAACUACGUG